RNAcentral lists this ribosomal RNA (400 nucleotides) under uncultured bacterium. Its description in RNAcentral is "bacterial SSU rRNA". It matches the Rfam family "Bacterial small subunit ribosomal RNA", at positions 355 to 747 of the family's 1533-position model. The record is from RNAcentral.
UGGGGAAUAUUGCACAAUGGGCGAAAGCCUGAUGCAGCGACGCCGCGUGGAGGAUGAAGGUCUUCGGAUUGUAAACUUCUGUUAAGUGGGAAGAAAGAGUGCGUGCUAAUACCACGCAAAGAUGACGGUACCACUAGAGAAAGCACCGGCUAACUUCGUGCCAGCAGCCGCGGUAAUACGAAGGGUGCGAGCGUUAUUCGGAAUAACUGGGCGUAAAGAGCGUGAAGGCGGUAUUAUAAGUUGUCUGUAAAAUCCUGGGGCUUACCCCCAGAACCGCAGACAAUACUGUAGAACUAGAAUGCAAGAGAGAGGGGUAGAAUUCUCGGAGUAGCGGUAAAAUGCGUAGAUCUCGAGAGGAACACCGAAGGCGAAGGCAGCCCCUUGGCUUGUAAUUGACGCU